This 520-nucleotide ribosomal RNA is filed under the name uncultured Sphingobacterium sp. Its description in RNAcentral is "bacterial SSU rRNA". It matches the Rfam family "Bacterial small subunit ribosomal RNA", at positions 9 to 524 of the family's 1533-position model. Lineage: Bacteria; Pseudomonadati; Bacteroidota; Sphingobacteriia; Sphingobacteriales; Sphingobacteriaceae. The record is from RNAcentral.
GAGUUUGAUCGUGGCUCAGGAUGAACGCUAGCGGCAGGCUUAACACAUGCAAGUCGAGGGGCAGCGCGGGUAGCAAUACCUGGCGGCGACCGGCAAACGGGUGCGGAACACGUACGCAAUCUACCCUUACCCGGGGCAUAGCCCGAAGAAAUUCGGAUUAACUCCCCAUAAGAUAUUAGAGAGGCAUCUCUUAGAUAUUAAAAAUUUAUUGGGUAAGGAUGAGCGUGCGUCCCAUUAGCUAGUUGGUAGGGUAACGGCCUACCAAGGCGACGAUGGGUAGCUGGUGUGAGAGCACGACCAGCCACACGGGCACUGAGACACGGGCCCGACUCCUACGGGAGGCAGCAGUGAGGAAUAUUGGUCAAUGGACGCAAGUCUGAACCAGCCAUGCCGCGUGAAGGAUGAAGGCCUUCUGGGUUGUAACUUCUUUUAUCUGGGAAGAAACCUCCGAUUUCUAUUGGAGUUGACGGUCCAGAGGAAUAGCACCGGCUAACUCCGUGCCAGCAGCCGCCGCGGUAAC